GAAAUGCGAAACCUAGUGUGAUACGCAACGAUCGUGAAUCAUCAAGUCUUUGAACGCAUAUUGCACUCUGUCUAACCGCAGAGUAUACCUGUUUGAGUAUCAGAUGUCCUUUUCAGCGAGCAAUCGCUGGUUAAUGGGUGUUGUGCAGCCGCAAGGCUGCUCACCUUAAAUGUAGGCAGGUCCACACGGCCAGUUCCAGGUGUCCAAGGUUGUAAAAGACCAAGUUCACUGUAGUACUGCGCAGUAUCACGGACUUCGCUCCCACUCACACAUCAAUCAAUUGAUCUCAAAUCAGGCAGGAUCACCCGCUGAACUUAA
RNAcentral lists this unclassified non-coding RNA (318 nucleotides) under uncultured fungus. RNAcentral's name for it is "sequence contains ITS1". The stretch from base 1 to 102 matches the Rfam family "5.8S ribosomal RNA", at positions 50 to 154 of the family's 154-position model. The record is from RNAcentral. Lineage: Eukaryota; Fungi.